Molecule: long non-coding RNA, 1351 nt
Organism: Pomacea canaliculata
Lineage: Eukaryota; Metazoa; Mollusca; Gastropoda; Architaenioglossa; Ampullariidae
Exons: 3
Source: RefSeq, a predicted model, not a curated record
CAGACGCAGUUGCUGACGGGGUUGGCAGUGGUGAGCAGGAGGAGGAAUGAAGAAAGGACGGGGUUUGCAACGUGCAUCCACUAGACCACAAUUGUUUAUCUCUGUGUGGACAGGACAGAGACUGGACAGUUCAAAACAGACACUGGAGCGGCGAGUGUCACAAAUACUCUGUGGAAAGCAGCAGGUAAAAUUAUGUUCUCACCAAACCUGAACAUGGUCCAAGUCAGAGUUAUGCCGGGACAAAAACACCUGCUGGAGAGAUGAGGGAUUUACAUGUACCCGCCCGAGUUUUCCCAGUCUUCUCAUCCUACAGUGUAAAGGUCAUUGCCAUUCUCCUCCUCGUCAGUUCCAGUGAAAAUUUGUGCUGGCUUCCCUGUAAGUGAGAGAUGUCAUCUAGAACUGGCAUUGCUGACAACGACUUUGGAGUUGGCUUUUGGUAAGGCAGACCAUUUCAAAGCUUACGUGAAUCUUGAUAUAAUCGACAUAUCACAAGUCAAUACAAUGACUACCCAGAAACCUCACAGAGGGACAGGAGUUAUUUGCAAUCGUUGAUGACUCGUCGAAAAGCUUAAUAUUCAACAUCACACAGUCAUCAGUUAUUGCAUAUGAUGCCUGUCCCUCUGACAUUUCUGGGUAGUCACUGAAUCCGCCCCUCGGGUUUUUAACACGUUCAUCUCCUCCAAGUAGAUGUCCAAAAGCUCCAUAAUAUUCUGAUAUUCAACACCACACGAAAUCAACUUGGAGGACACGAAGGUGUUAAAAACCACGAGGGUGAGAUUGCAGUAAGUUGUUAUGCGAAAAUCGAGUUUGAUCAACAUUGUUUUCAAAGGGAGAUGAUUCACAUAUAUUCUGAGCCUGUGGAUUAUGAGCAUGUCACUGAAUUACCAAAUAUUACCUGAUCCUUUUUGUUGAAUCACGUGUUUAGUAUUGACUUGAAAAAGAAAGAAGUAGAAUACCGUUUGGGGACAUUGCAUAAAGUGAAUGACUGAGCAUGUGCCAACAUGACUGUUUUGAUAGCGCAAACAAAGUGAAGCUUAGCUUGUGAAUGUCAUUUGUGAUGACGCCCUUAGCUGUUCGAUACAGGUUAGGUGGACUGCAUGGUUAGUCACCCUGUAGAUCGAUAUAUAUUAUUAAUCUAUGGCACUUUUUCCCUAAAAAUCCCCUGCCUGUGCGAAUGGAUGUGGUAAGAGAUGGUAAAGCAAGUUUUUAUGCUUCUAUAAGAACACCAAGACUUUUGACAGCCAUAAAGGAAAUUUAUUUCCAUGGUGUUGCUCAAAGCUAAAGGGAUCUAAAUUAGCAUGUAAAAAGGUGCCAACAAAAAAAGCCAUUCUUAUUAAACCAUAAAAUCAUU